UUUCUGCUGAUUUUGUCAGAUGACCUUCGCUUCCAUGUUAUUCAGACCGCUGAAGAGCAUUGAAGGCAAACUUUUGGUAUUCCAAUCAGUGUUACCUUCUGUUGGUAUUGCGGCUCUUUCUGCUAGGGAAGCUGAAGGACGAUCUAAUAUAUCUGCAGGAGAAAAGGAACCCCACAAACUACUCCAACCAGUAGACAAUACUUUAAAGACAAUGGCUAUUGAACUUGCUGAGUACCAGGU
Molecule: long non-coding RNA, 240 nt
Organism: Helianthus annuus (common sunflower)
Lineage: Eukaryota; Viridiplantae; Streptophyta; Magnoliopsida; Asterales; Asteraceae
Exons: 3
Source: RefSeq, a predicted model, not a curated record